This 762-nucleotide ribosomal RNA is filed under the name uncultured bacterium. RNAcentral describes it as "bacterial SSU rRNA". It matches the Rfam family "Bacterial small subunit ribosomal RNA", at positions 757 to 1520 of the family's 1533-position model. The record is from RNAcentral.
AAGCGUGGGUAGCAAACAGGAUUAGAUACCCUGGUAGUCCACGCCGUAAACGAUGUCUACUAGUCGUUGGGUCCCUUGAGGACUUAGUGACGCAGCUAACGCAAUAAGUAGACCGCCUGGGGAGUACGGCCGCAAGGUUAAAACUCAAAUGAAUUGACGGGGGCCCGCACAAGCGGUGGAGCAUGUGGUUUAAUUCGAUGCAACGCGAAGAACCUUACCUGGUCUUGACAUAUCUAGAAUCUUGUAGAGAUACGAGAGUGCCUUCGGGAAUUAGAAUACAGGUGCUGCAUGGCUGUCGUCAGCUCGUGUCGUGAGAUGUUGGGUUAAGUCCCGCAACGAGCGCAACCCUUGUCCUUAGUUACCAGCGGGUUAAGCCGGGAACUCUAAGGAUACUGCCAGUGACAAACUGGAGGAAGGCGGGGACGACGUCAAGUCAUCAUGGCCCUUACGACCAGGGCUACACACGUGCUACAAUGGUAGGUACAGAGGGCAGCUACACAGCGAUGUGAUGCGAAUCUUUUAAAGCCUAUCGUAGUCCAGAUUGGAGUCUGCAACUCGACUCCAUGAAGUAGGAAUCGCUAGUAAUCGCGGAUCAGAAUGCCGCGGUGAAUACGUUCCCGGGCCUUGUACACACCGCCCGUCACACCAUGGGAGUUGAUUGCACCAGAAGUGGUUAGCCUAACGUAAGAGGGCGAUCACCACGGUGUGGUUGAUGACUGGGGUGAAGUCGUAACAAGGUAGCCGUAGGGGAACCUGCGGCUG